GGGGAAAUUCAAUACCGUCUUGACGGUGUGCACUUUUCUCCCAGUAAGACGCUGUGAUCCAUUAGAAAUCGGACCAUUCCAAUGGUUAGUGGGCUAUCAAAAGGCCGACAUGAAGUUCAGUGGUGUCGAUGGCAUGAUCAUAUACGGUUAUGUGUACGGCCCGCUGAGCAUGUUGAUACCUGAAAUAGCUGUCUGAUGGAUUUUAAAGGUCAUAUUACUGAUACUUUCGAGUAUCACCCAUUACGAUGGGAGUGGAUAUGUACCCGAUCAACAGCGGUUAAAUUUGUGAUACCUUUGGGACCCGUCUUGAAACACGGACCAAGGAGUCUAUCUAGUAUGCAAGUAAAUGGGUAUAUGAAACCUAUUUGCAUAAAAAACUUGACUUUCAAUGGGAUUACGAGUCGUUUUUAAAGACGGCUCCUCCAUCCCGGGGUAUUUUCAUCAACAUAUGCAGCAAUGUAUAUGGAAAAUAUACCAUGAGCGUACUGGAUAUG
This 494-nucleotide ribosomal RNA is filed under the name Stictocladius multiserialis. RNAcentral describes it as "eukaryotic LSU rRNA". It matches the Rfam family "Eukaryotic large subunit ribosomal RNA", at positions 436 to 813 of the family's 3401-position model. Lineage: Eukaryota; Metazoa; Arthropoda; Insecta; Diptera; Chironomidae. The record is from RNAcentral.